AUGCCACCAAGUUGGAUAAGCCUUUUGUUCUCUUUUCUUUCUUCUUGCAGAGCCAUGGAAAUUUAUUUUGAGUAGAAGGGGAGUAUGAACAAGUCAAGCCAGUGACACCACUGAUGUCACAGAAGACUCUGACAAUCUUAGGACAUCUAAUAGUGCUGGGACAACUCAGUUAAUUUUAAACAGGAUGUCUGGAAAAAUCACCAUUUGGACCUACAAUGGUGCUACAGAAAGACAGCCAGGCAAGCAAAGGUGUCAGAGAGGAAUUCACCAUCUCUGCACAACAACCAGCUAACUUACUUUUAUCUACUUUCUCACCAAACUCGCUGUGAUGGAAAGUGCUACAGAGCCAUCAGAAACCUUCCACAAUAUGUAAUUGGUCCAGACAUAAUUCACAUGCUGAUCACAAG
Molecule: long non-coding RNA, 407 nt
Filed under: Fukomys damarensis (Damara mole-rat)
Lineage: Eukaryota; Metazoa; Chordata; Mammalia; Rodentia; Bathyergidae
Description: lncRNA (ENSFDAG00000022339.1)
Source: RNAcentral